CAGGGGGGGAUGGCUUACACAUGGGCAGUCGAACGGAAACGAUACUAGCUUGCUAGUAGGCGUCGAGUGGCGGACGGGUGAGUAACGCGUAGGAAUCUGCCUGAUAGUGGGGGAUAGCCCGGAGAAAUUCGGAUUAAUACCGCAUAAUCUAUUCGUAGUAAAGUGGGGGACUUUCGAGCCUCACGCUAUCAGAUGAGCCUGCGUAAGAUUAGCUAGUUGGUAGGGUAAAAGCCUACCAAGGCGACGAUCUUUAGCUGGUCUGAGAGGAUGAUCAGCCACAUCGGGACUGAGACACGGCCCGAACUCCUACGGGAGGCAGCAGUGGGGAAUAUUGGACAAUGGGGGCAACCCUGAUCCAGCAAUACCGCGUGUGUGAAGAAGGCCUGAGGGUUGUAAAGCACUUUCAAUUGUGAAGAAAAGUUAGCGGUUAAUAACCGUUAGCCUUGACGUUAACUUUAGAAGAAGCACCGGCUAACUCCGUGCCAGCAGCCGCGGUAAUACGGAGGGUGCAAGCGUUAAUCGGAAUUACUGGGCGUAAAGCGUGCGUAGGCGGUUUAUUAAGUCAGAUGUGAAAGCCCCGGGCUUAACCUGGGAACUGCAUUUGAAACUGGUAAACUAGAGUAUGGUAGAGGAAAGUGGAAUUUCUGGUGUAGCGGUGAAAUGCGUAGAUAUCAGAAGGAACAUCAAUGGCGAAGGCAGCUUUCUGGACCAAUACUGACGCUGAGGUACGAAAGCGUGGGUAGCAAACAGGAUUAGAUACCCUGGUAGUCCACGCCGUAAACGAUGAUAACUAGCCGUUGGGGGGAUUUACCCUUUAGUGGCGAAGCUAACGCGUUAAGUUAUCCGCCUGGGGAGUACGGCCGCAAGGUUAAAACUCAAAGGAAUUGACGGGGACCCGCACAAGCGGUGGAGCAUGUGGUUUAAUUCGAUGCAACGCGAAGAACCUUACCUGGUCUUGACAUCCUGCGAACUUUCUAGAAAUAGAUUGGUGCCUUCGGGAACGCAGUGACAGGUGCUGCAUGGCUGUCGUCAGCUCGUGUCGUGAGAUGUUGGGUUAAGUCCCGUAACGAGCGCAACCCCUAUCCUUAUUUGCCAGCACAUCAUGGUGGGAACUAUAAGGAGACUGCCGGUGAUAAACCGGAGGAAGGCGGGGACGACGUCAAGUCAUCAUGGCCCUUACGACCAGGGCUACACACGUGCUACAAUGGGAAGGACAAAGAGCCGCGAAGCCGCGAGGUGUAGCUAAUCUCAUAAACCUUUUCGUAGUCCGGAUUGGAGUCUGCAACUCGACUCCAUGAAGUCGGAAUCGCUAGUAAUCGUAGAUCAGAAUGCUACGGUGAAUACGUUCCCGGGUCUUGUACACACCGCCCGUCAUACCAUGGGAGUGGGUUGCACCANGAAGUGGCUAGUCUAACUUAGUGAGGACGGUCACCCANCCGGUGGAUUCACG
RNAcentral lists this ribosomal RNA (1450 nucleotides) under uncultured bacterium. Its description in RNAcentral is "bacterial SSU rRNA". It matches the Rfam family "Bacterial small subunit ribosomal RNA". The record is from RNAcentral.